CCUACGGGAGGCAGCAGUGGGGAAUCUUGCGCAAUGGCCGAGAGGCUGACGCAGCGACGCCGCGUGGGGGAUGAAGCAUUUCGGUGUGUAAACCCCUGUUGCUCGGGACGAACGACCCUUUUCGAGGGGUGUGACGGUACCGAGUGAGGAAGCACCGGCUAACUCCGUGCCAGCAGCCGCGGUAAUACGGAGGGUGCGAGCGUUGUCCGGAAUCACUGGGCGUAAAGGGCGCGUAGGUGGUUGGAUGCGCCGGUGGUGAAAGCGCAGGGCUCAACCCUGCGUCGGCCAUCGGGACGGUCCGACUGGAGCACUGUAGAGGCAGGUGGAAUUCCGGGUGUAGCGGUGGAAUGCGUAGAGAUCCGGAAGAACACCGGUGGCGAAGGCGGCCUGCUGGGCAGUUGCUGACACUGAGGCGCGACAGCGUGGGGAGCAAACAGGAUUAGAUACCCUGGUAGUCCACGCCGUAAACGAUGGGCACUAGGUGCUUGGGGGAGCGACCCCCUGAGUGCCGACGCUAACGCAUUAAGUGCCCCGCCUGGGAAGUACGACCGCAAGGUUGAAACUCAAAGGAAUUGACGG
RNAcentral lists this ribosomal RNA (579 nucleotides) under uncultured bacterium. RNAcentral's name for it is "bacterial SSU rRNA". It matches the Rfam family "Bacterial small subunit ribosomal RNA", at positions 338 to 916 of the family's 1533-position model. The record is from RNAcentral.